Molecule: ribosomal RNA, 683 nt
Filed under: Pseudomonas rhodesiae
Lineage: Bacteria; Pseudomonadati; Pseudomonadota; Gammaproteobacteria; Pseudomonadales; Pseudomonadaceae
Description: bacterial SSU rRNA
Rfam family: Bacterial small subunit ribosomal RNA
Source: RNAcentral
UUGCUUCUCUUGAGAGCGGCGGACGGGUGAGUAAUGCCUAGGAAUCUGCCUGGUAGUGGGGGAUAACGUUCGGAAACGGACGCUAAUACCGCAUACGUCCUACGGGAGAAAGCAGGGGACCUUCGGGCCUUGCGCUAUCAGAUGAGCCUAGGUCGGAUUAGCUAGUUGGUGGGGUAAUGGCUCACCAAGGCGACGAUCCGUAACUGGUCUGAGAGGAUGAUCAGUCACACUGGAACUGAGACACGGUCCAGACUCCUACGGGAGGCAGCAGUGGGGAAUAUUGGACAAUGGGCGAAAGCCUGAUCCAGCCAUGCCGCGUGUGUGAAGAAGGUCUUCGGAUUGUAAAGCACUUUAAGUUGGGAGGAAGGGCCAUUACCUAAUACGUGAUGGUUUUGACGUUACCGACAGAAUAAGCACCGGCUAACUCUGUGCCAGCAGCCGCGGUAAUACAGAGGGUGCAAGCGUUAAUCGGAAUUACUGGGCGUAAAGCGCGCGUAGGUGGUUUGUUAAGUUGGAUGUGAAAUCCCCGGGCUCAACCUGGGAACUGCAUUCAAAACUGACUGACUAGAGUAUGGUAGAGGGUGGUGGAAUUUCCUGUGUAGCGGUGAAAUGCGUAGAUAUAGGAAGGAACACCAGUGGCGAAGGCGACCACCUGGACUGAUACUGACACUGAGGUGCGAAGC